Long non-coding RNA from Cucumis melo (muskmelon), 1822 nucleotides. RefSeq lists it as uncharacterized. Lineage: Eukaryota; Viridiplantae; Streptophyta; Magnoliopsida; Cucurbitales; Cucurbitaceae. The transcript is spliced from 2 exons. The record is from RefSeq and is a predicted model, not a curated record.
UUAACCACCAAGAUUUUUGAAGACAUCCAACUUCCAUUUUUUUUUUCUUUUUCCUUCUUCAAUUUGCAGAGAACUUCUAAGAGAGAGUUUGGAAGAAGAAGAGAAAUUUUACUAGAAUUUUGAGGUUGAAGAAGAGGAGGAGAACUCAAGCAAAGUGUAUCCAUGGCUGAAUUUUAGUUCAUUCUACACAUCACUGGUUUUUAAUUCGGUUUGAACUCUUCAAAAGGAAUUAAGAGGUGAGAUUUACAUUUACUGAAAGUUAACUCAUUUUCAGACAAACUUUAUGAAGAACGUUGGAGCAAAUUCGGAUAUUCAUUUGGUGCUUUUUGAUGAAGAAAACAAGGCAGUUGGUUUUCACUCGAAAUCAGGAGGUCUCUGGUUUUUCUUGUAUUUCAGAGUGUAUCGGUGGAGUUAGAAUCUCUAUUUAGUAUGGUUGGAAAUAUUAUUCAAUUUACUACAACUUUCAUGAAGAAAUUGUAAACCAAAUAUGACUAAAAAUCAGUUAAAUUGUAGGGACAAGUUAAAGAGGUCGUGUGCGCGCGAUUCUGGAAGUGGUUUGGUUUUGAGGGUUAUAUGUGUUUAUGCACGGGGAAUCAGAUUUAUAUGUCUUCAGGCCGAGAAGAAUUAAACCGAGCUUAUAGACCAAGGAUCUAGCCCAAGACUGUGAGUGACAAAACCAACUUUGAAAUAUUUUCCAUAAUUGUUAUUAUGAUUGAAUGUGAUAAAUGUUUGUUUACGAAGCCAUGAAAGGUAUUUGAAUUUCAUGACUAUUUCCAAGUAUACAUUUGGAGACUAGAUUUCUUAAAGAAAUUUAUGCUAACAUGUAGAUAUUAAAUGUUUGGAAAGUAUUUAAACCACAAUAUUUUAAGCAAAGCAUGAAUUAGUAUGAAGUUUUGUUUUAAGAACUACAAUUUUCCACGAAAGAGCUGAGUAAAGUUCGAGCUUUGUGUAAAAUUUAUAAGCAGGCAUGUUUUAAUAUUUUAAGAUGAUUUAUGAAAUUUUCAUUAACUACAUGACUGAGAUCUUGAGCCUGAGGCUAGAGAUUACCGUGUGCACACUGGUUAGAUUCCGUUGUUGACGUUGAGUGUACUCCGUAACAACGAGGUUAUCGUGAGUGGUGGGCGGGCUCUACUACGACAAAGACGAUGAGAGUGCUGGGCGGGCCCCACUACAUCGUAGUGCUUGUAAACGUUGUUGUACUAGGUGUACCCUACACAACGUAGAUUCGUCAUGUUAGUUAAAAUGCUUCGAUAUACUUGAUAUGCCUUGCUAGAUUUCAAUGAUGAACAUGCUGAGUAUUUAAGGAAGCUAUUCUUACUACUACACAUUUACAUUUACGACUUGUAUAAACAGAUUUGUAUGUGUAAAGUUUUCACGUGCUCUUAUCUUUAAAUUCAUAGUUUUAAACUGAGUCACUCACUGAGCUUCAUAGCUCACCCUUUCCAAAAUGUUUUACCCAUUUUCCAGGUAGAGAUCGAGUUCCCGGUGCCUGAUAGACUGUCUUAGUCUGCGGAAGCUUCAUUAUCGAUUGCCAGUACGUGUUUUGAGUUGGGCAUAGAGUCUGUUGUGUUGUGAUGUAUAUACACCCUUGUAUGUUAUAGAUACUCCACAGUUUGUAUAAGCUUUAGGAGCUGUAGUUGUGUAAAUUUUGUUGGUUAUAUUUUGAUUAAGGUGUCUUUAGGUUUACUCGUGAAAUCGGUAAAUUUUGAGGUACACUUCAUGUAUGUGUUUGACUAGCUGUGUUUGACUAGCCUAGGAUCCGCUGUGUUUUGUGACAUGUACAAUAGUUUAUAUACUAGAUUGGCAAGUUCAUCACAUGAAA